RNAcentral lists this long non-coding RNA (6210 nucleotides) under Sus scrofa (pig). Its description in RNAcentral is "lncRNA (ENSSSCG00040001633.1)". Lineage: Eukaryota; Metazoa; Chordata; Mammalia; Artiodactyla; Suidae. The record is from RNAcentral.
ACCUGUGGCAUAUGGAAGUUCCCAGGCUAGGGGUUGAAUCAGAGAUAGAGCUGUUGGCCUACGCCACAGCCACUGCAAUGUCAAAUCUGAGCCGAGUCUGCAACCUACACCGCAGCUCACAGCAAAGCAGAUCCUUAACCCACUGAGCGAAGCCAGGGAUGGAACCCGCAUCCUCAUGGAUACUCGUUGGGUUCAUCACCGCCGUGCCACAAUGGGAACUCCAGAAUACUGCAUCUCUGAGUUUCCCAACAAACUGGUGCAGGAGGCAUGGCUACUUCCACUGUGAGCACAUGAAGCCCAGAAAGGCCGAGAGACACACGAAGAUGGCACAGCUGCAGGGUUGGAUCUAAACUCCAUCCUUGUAAAUGUAAAGCCUGCGCUCCUUCCUCUAAACCACCCUUGUUGGCUGCAUGGCCUGUCUCUCUCAGGCGUCUCAAUUCCUUCCUCCCUUUGCCUCUGACUUCCUCUAGAAUGUCCUGGAGGACCUAAUGGACCUAAGAAAUAGUGAGUUAAUUCCUGGUGUUUUUUUAGGGACGUGAUUAAAUAUCCACAGCAAGGUAAACCAACCUGAACUCAUUCAGAGGAUACUUCGGAGCAUCUUUGGGAUGUUUUAUUUGGGGCUUCUUACACACAGAGCUUGGCUUUCAUGGGUCUAAAAUGAGGUUUUUGAUUCCGGCCCUAGAGGCUCGAGGUUAAAAAUUGUUAGAAAGAGCAUUUUUGGUGCCACGUUCUUUGCGGCUCUUUUUAAGGCGCUAAAUGAGGGGACUAAACAAUCGGUUUAUUGAAAAGUGCAAGGGAUUAUCCUCUGGCUCAUUAGGAUUCCCGGGUUAUCUGAGCACAGUGUGGAGGGAUAAGACAGGCCAGCCUGCAAAGCUGGAACAGGCAGCCCCUUCGGGGGAAGCGCUUUCCCACCCAACUCUCUGCUGGAUUUGCCACCGCGCUCCUGCGAGCAGAGCAGGCCGAGGGAGCGUUUCCUCGCUCUUUUCAACAUUGGAGAACAAGAUGCUACCUGUGCUGAAAUCAACACAGAGGCAUAGCUGAGGGGGGGAGAGAAAAAUAAUAAUAAAUGCAGCAAAGGGGCUGCAAAAAAAAAAAAAAGUGAUUUUUGAAGCUAAUGACAGUGUUUCUGCCUUUAUUGCUUCGGGCAGGAAGAGGAAGUUAGAAAUCUAAGUGGCUUGAGAAAAUACCGCAUUUAACCAACUCAUUUGCAGGCCUCCAGUUGUAUGAUCCUAAUUUAUUUCAUUGUUGUGGGGGUUUUUCUUUGGGGGACUUUUUUGAUCUAUUUUUAAUGGAAGACUAAUGCGCAUCCCUUCCCCUCCCCCACCCCGACUUUUUUUUCGCAGGCAUGUACCGAGCAGGAAGACUUUUUUUUAAAAAUAACUUUUCUUUUUAAACCUACUCCUUUAUGGAGGCAGAGAAAGAAGCUGGGGCGGGGGGGAGAGACGUUUCCGUUUCAUAAUCUAUGUGUAAUGUUUGUGUGGGCAAUUCCUAGCGCUUUAUUUCACCUGUAACUUCCAGGAAGGAAAGCCAUCCCACCAACGUGGAGAAGGUCGGCAGGUAGCAGGCACCAUCUCCACAGCCCCAUGUGCUUCUCCCAUCAGAAUGUGGCUUCGUGCUAGAUUUCCUCCAGGGUCCACUGCCAAGCUCCAUGGACCACUUGAUUCAAAUGGCCACCUGACUCUCAUCAACAAUAGGGAUGGGGGCGGGGGAGAAAGUAAAACUCUGUCAUUUGACGCAUCUCUUGAGCAAUCGCCUCCUUUAGGGAGGCAGUUAGAUGGCGGCCGUGCUUCCAGAGCCACCUUUGAGUUUCUUUUGCUGCUCUCUGAGUUUGUCCAACAUGCCAGCGAGGAAGGAGGGACAGGUAUUAACUAGCCUGAAGGGGCAGAAGAGGAAAUGAAGCGAUGCAGAGCUGAAAUGACAUGUUCAAGGGUACACGGGGAGUUAAGCUUAAAGAGCCAGGACUGGCCCCCGAUCGCGGGUCUAGGAGACACAGCUCCCCCGCCACCGUCCCCCUGCCCCGCCAAAUGUUCAGUCCGUAUUCAUGAAAGCCAGCUUCCAUCCAGUGAGCACACAGCACCCAUGUGGGGCCUACAGGGAAAGGACGCUCUAGGUUUUGGAAAGUAAUGAAUGAACGAAGUCAAAGGUGUGUGAGGAUGAUGGGCGGAGAGGCAAACUAGGCGGUCAUAAAAAGAUGUCCAAAAAAAAGUCCUUAGAAAUAAAACCAGUAGUCAGAUCAAACAGAGAACAGGACCAAUCGAUCAAGAAGGGGAGAAACUAUUAAGAUGAAAAGGCCACAGGAUAUUUGGAGAGGAGUGGUAGGGUAUUUAAGGAGUAACAGUAUUACCGAAAAGAUUUUCUUAAAAAUAAGAGUAAACCAAACAAAAAAGAAAAAUGCGAACUUUUGGUUAGGAUAUAGAUUUUCAAACUUGAGUUUGAUCUUUUUGGCAAAGAAACUUCAGGUGCAUUAAAAUGAAGCAAAGAGUGAGUGUCACAAGGCUAAGGACAGAGAGACUCCGUCUGAAGGCUAAGAUCACAUAUUUAAGCAAAUCAGGCAAAUGAUGGAUUUGAAUCUUCAGUUCAAACGGCUUCUCUGUUCCAAAUGAUGUCCACCUCUGGAUGCCACCCUUGAAAAAUGAGGAUUCAGGAGUGCCUCUCGUGGCUGAGCAGUUAACGAACCCGACUAGUAUCCAUGAGGAUGCAGGUUCGAUCCCUGGCCUUGCUCAGUGGGUUGAGGAUCCUGCGGUGCUGUGAGCUGUGGUGUAGGUCGUGGAUGUGGCUGGGAUACCUUGUUGCUGUGGCUGUGGAGUAGGCCAGCAGCUGCAGCUCCCGUUAGACUUGUAGCCUGGGAGCCUAUAUAUGUCGCAGGCACGGCUCCCCCCAAAAAAGACAAAACCAAAACCAAAAGACAAAACCAAAAAUUAAGAUUCACCUGGGGACAGCUUGAUACUCCACAGGAAAGGAAUAUGGAACCGGUGUCAUUAUUACUGUGUUAUUAUUUGCUCUGGACAUUGAGGCAACGCUCUGGCAAUUAGAAUCCCCCUUCUGUGCUUGAAUCCAGCUGGAAGGGCAUCCAUAACCCAUGAUGGGAAAAGCUCCCGGGGAGGUCAGGUGUCUUUUCUCUUUCCCCUACAGGCCACGGCCACCUAUUGGCAGGGGUCACAAGCAGCCGUGUGAUCCAACGACGUCUCCAGUGGGUCUGCCCUGAACAUGGUGACAUGCAAACCCCAUGUGCUGAGAAUUCUCCACGGCAAUUAGACUAGUGACUCAUCACGAGUUCCAAAAUUAGGAAAAAGGCACCCAAUUCAGAGCAUGUACAGGAAUUUUUCUUCUUUUUUUUAACCAGACUCACAGUUACAACUUGAUUGGCAAGAGAAAGCCAAUAUGGAAAGAUAACAUAUCACUGUUGGUAGGUUUUCUAGCAGCAGAUGCUCUGUUUUAAUAUUAUUGUGCUCUUUGCUCUCAUCCCCUUAUUUAUAAACCAAUUCCACGGACUGAUGCAACCAACGUUUCUUGAGCCCCCCAAAGAUCGUUCCUGUCUUCGAGGAAUUCACCGUCCGGCAGAUGAAACGGACAAGAAAGAAUGUCCAUGCAAUGAGAGAGAGGCUAAAAAGGGAGCAGCUGACGGAGUGCAAGAGAAUCGCAAUCAUGAAGGUCAAUUCUCUCCGGAAAUGGAGAGGAGAAAAGACGACCCAGAGGAAGGGGUGUUGUGUGCUGAGUCUGGGAACCCAAAAAUCAAUCCAAACUCAACAAGAGUCACACCACAGGCUCAGAGGUCCACAGCCCAGAGAAACCAGGGAAGAACUCUCAGAAACCAACAGAUUCCUAGGAGUUCUUUUCCUCCUCUUCUUCUUCUUCGAAUCUCCUUCUCUAGACGUGCUUCUUAAAUAUUUGGCCAAGGACCUGGAAGCAAAUUCUUCAACCCCAGAAAACUGGGCUUUGAGAUGGCUGUGGACAUGCACAAUGCAGGGCUUGGCUGAUAUGACUCUGGGUUCCCCAUGGCUGAUGUCAUCUUAGGGACCGCUGGCCACGCUUUCCAGAAGCGACACUCACUCUUCUGGGUCAGCAAGGGGCUGUGGAGCCCACCGAGAAGUGACUUGCAGUGGGAAAGUGUCCUUUCAUAUGGUGGAGUCUGGAAGGAGCUGUAGGAAGCUGGGGUCUCAGCAGGGCUGCCUGGACAUCACUGGUUCUGCAUUUUCACUCCUUCUGGAUUUUUCCAGCUUGUCCAAGGCAAUGGGAGGACAAGGCCAAGUGAAGCCACUUCUCUCCAUUCUGUUUCCUUUUCCAGGGUUGGUCCACUCGGGACGUGUCUGAAACAGAGAGAGCUACAGUGCUCUGAUGACGCCCCAUAAGCAUACAGCUGAGAAGUUCUGGUAAUUCAGUGGUACUUGAAAUUCUUGGGCUCUUUCUUAUUUCUCCCUCUUGGAGUUGUCCAGGCUUGGACAGGUUAUUUGACCUGUAGGAGUGGACUUAUGGUCCUGGGAGUAGAAUGAUGGGAGAGACCUAUGUUGUAAGAAUACAAUCUGUCACAGGGAACUACAUCCAGUCUCUCGGGAUAGAAGAUGAUGGAAGACAGUAUGAGAAAAAGAAGAAACACACACGCACACGCGCGCGCACACACACACAUAUAUACAUAUAAAACUGGGACACUGCUGUACAGCAGAAAUUGACAUAAUAGUGUAAAUCAACCAUAUUUAGAAAGAGUACAAUCUUUGAUGUCAGAUCAGAAUUUGGAGCUAGGCUUGAUUUGUAUUAGCUGCGUGACUUGUUGUCCUAUACCUUGGUCUCCUCAUCUAGAAAAUGGGUGCAAUCAAGCCUAGGCCACAGGAUUGUUUUGAAGAUAAAAAGGGAGAGGUGGUCUCUGAAAUGCAACAUCAAGAGCAUGUCACCUAGAAAGCCCUCCAUAAGUAGGAACUGAUUUAAGUGCCUACGAUGUGCCACGGUCCGUCUGGUACGAGUCCAAGAUUGCACUCUAAGACCCAUGCAAAGAAACAUCUUCCUUCUUCGGGUGAAAACAGCAGGAAAAGUACAUAAAAAAGGGACAGGCAAAGAAAGUCUUGUGCUAAAGGGCUGGUGUGGACCUGAGACCUCCGCCAUGGAAUUGGGCAUUAAUUCCUUCUAGGAAACCAGAGGGAAGAAGAGAUUCUUCACUUCUGGCUCAUACGUGCCUUGAACAGUGAUGUCUCAAAAUACCUCAAACACAGGGAGGGAGUGGGAUGCACUGGGAGUUUGGGGUUAGGAGAAGCAAAUGUUGGAUAAGCAAUGAGGUUCGGCUGUACAGCCCAGGGAACUAUAUCCAAUCACUUGUGAUAGAACAUGAUGGAUGAUAAUAUGAGAAAAAGAAUGUAUAUACACGCAUGACUGAGUCACUUUGCUGGACAGCCAACACUGACGGAGCAUUUUUAAAUCGACUACAAUUUAAUAAAAAAAAUUUUUAAUAUCUCAAAUGCAAGAAAAUUUCCCUCCAUGUCUUGUGAUGACCAUGAGGCUCACUUGAACUUGACUCAAAGUUCAAGGUCCUUUUAAGUGUUCAUUCAAUUCAGUUUUAUCUUGGCAUCUCACAUGUGCAAAAAAAAAAAAAAAAAAAAGUGUCACAAACCUCUAAAACGGGACUUUUUUUCAGAAAUAAUGUAUUUUGGCAGCUUUUUAUUCAUUCUUUCCUCUUCCCCACCUUCCCAAAGUCACGGAGGUCAAUUUAUCUUAUCUUUUGUGGGGGGUGUGGCGGGGGCGGAAGGAUGUAGUUGGGGCAGGUAGACUUAUUUAACUUUUCCAACUGCUGUCAAACGUUUUUCACCCCUUUUCCCCAGACGGUUCUCAGGGGUGUCAAAGGAACAUUAGACUCAGGGUAGAUUGAUCUAGAGUCUCUGACGUUGAUUGCAAUGAUGAUGUUUAACCUUGUACCUGGAAGAGGCAAGAUUGGCCAGGCGUGUAGGAAGCAGCUUGAGUUACUUAAGAAGCCUGAUUUGUUUAUGAGGAACUGACUACUACAUGGUAGUUUACGCCAAAGACACACAAAGAACCCACUUUGCUUCUCCUUGCAAAUUACACCCAGCCUACUAGAAAAGAAGGGACUCCCUCUGCUAAAAACACAACCAUACAUAAUUUGGACUUAGGCAGAAUGAAGAAUAAUUACUUCUCAGCCUCUAGGUGGGGAAAGGCAGAGAGAGGGAGAGAAAGGCUUAGUCAAUAAUUCCUGCCCCUGUGCUUUCCACA